AUUGAACGCUGGCGGCAUGCCUUACACAUGCAAGUCGAACGGCAGCGCGGGCUUCGGCCUGGCGGCGAGCGGCGGACGGGUGAGUAAUGCAUCGGAACGUGCCCAGGAGUGGGGGAUAACGUAGCGAAAGUUACGCUAAUACCGCAUACGUACUGAGGUAGAAAGCGGGGGAUCGAAAGACCUCGCGCUCAUGGAGCGGCCGAUGUCGGAUUAGCUAGUUGGCGGGGUAAAAGCCCACCAAGGCGACGAUCCGUAGCUGGUCUGAGAGGACGACCAGCCACACUGGGACUGAGACACGGCCCAGACUCCUACGGGAGGCAGCAGUGGGGAAUCUUGGACAAUGGGGGAAACCCUGAUCCAGCAAUGCCGCGUGUGGGAUGAAGGCCCUCGGGUUGUAAACCACUUUUGGCAGGAAAGAAAUCGCCUGUGCUAAUACCACGGGCGGAUGACGGUACCUGCAGAAUAAGCACCGGCUAACUACGUGCCAGCCGCCGCAGUAA
RNAcentral lists this ribosomal RNA (500 nucleotides) under uncultured bacterium. RNAcentral describes it as "partial 16S ribosomal RNA". It matches the Rfam family "Bacterial small subunit ribosomal RNA", at positions 29 to 523 of the family's 1533-position model. The record is from RNAcentral.